GUGCCCGUAGCUCAGCUGGAUAGAGCGUCAGUUUGCGGAACUGAAGGUCGUACGUUCGAAUCGUAUCGGGCACACCA
This 77-nucleotide transfer RNA is filed under the name Candidatus Saccharimonadota bacterium. Its description in RNAcentral is "tRNA-Arg". It matches the Rfam family "tRNA". From Rfam's summary of the family: Transfer RNA (tRNA) molecules are approximately 80 nucleotides in length. The record is from RNAcentral. RNAcentral also lists the same sequence under 2 other names. Lineage: Bacteria; Candidatus Saccharimonadota.